GACGAACGCUGGCGGCGUGCUUAACACAUGCAAGUCGAACGGAAAGGCCUCUUUCGGGGGGUACUCGAGUGGCGAACGGGUGAGUAACACGUGAGUAACCUGCCCUUGACUUUGGGAUAACUUCAGGAAACUGGGGCUAAUACCGGAUAGGAGCUCCUGCUGCAUGGUGGGGGUUGGAAAGUUUCGGCGGUUGGGGAUGGACUCGCGGCUUAUCAGCUUGUUGGUGGGGUAGUGGCUUACCAAGGCUUUGACGGGUAGCCGGCCUGAGAGGGUGACCGGCAACAUGGGGACUGAGAGCGGGCCAAGACUCCUGGGGGGGGAGGGAGGGGGGAAUAUUGAAAAAGGGGUGGAGGCUGGAGCCAGCAACGCCGGGGGGGGGAGGAGGGCUUGGGGUUUGUAACCCGUUUCCGCUCAGGAAGAAGUUUUGUGGGAGGGGGGUGGAUAAAGAAGCCCCGGCAAACUACGGG
This 467-nucleotide ribosomal RNA is filed under the name uncultured bacterium. Its description in RNAcentral is "partial 16S ribosomal RNA". It matches the Rfam family "Bacterial small subunit ribosomal RNA", at positions 28 to 507 of the family's 1533-position model. The record is from RNAcentral.